UGGGGAAUAUUGCACAAUGGGCGAAAGCCUGAUGCAGCAACGCCGCGUGAGUGAUGAAGGCCUUCGGGUUGUAAAGCUCUGUCUUUUGGGACGAUAAUGACGGUACCAAAGGAGGAAGCCACGGCUAACUACGUGCCAGCAGCCGCGGUAAUACGUAGGUGGCAAGCGUUGUCCGGAUUUACUGGGCGUAAAGGAUGCGUAGGCGGAUUUUUAAGUGAGAUGUGAAAUACCCGGGCUUAACUUGGGUGCUGCAUUUCAAACUGGGAAUCUAGAGUGCGGGAGAGGAGAAUGGAAUUCCUAGUGUAGCGGUGAAAUGCGUAGAGAUUAGGAAGAACACCAGUGGCGAAGGCGAUUCUCUGGACCGUAACUGACGCUGAGGCAUGAAAGCGUGGGUAGCAAACAGGAUUAGAUACCCUGGUAGUCCACGCCGUAAACGAUGAGUACUAGGUGUAGGAGGUAUCGACCCCUUCUGUGCCGCAGUUAACACAAUAAGUACUCCGCCUGGGAAGUACGAUCGCAAGAUUAAACUUAAAUGAUUGACGGGGUCAUAGCUGUUUCCU
RNAcentral lists this ribosomal RNA (560 nucleotides) under uncultured bacterium. RNAcentral describes it as "partial 16S ribosomal RNA". It matches the Rfam family "Bacterial small subunit ribosomal RNA", at positions 355 to 1375 of the family's 1533-position model. The record is from RNAcentral.